This 30-nucleotide small RNA is filed under the name Bombyx mori (domestic silkworm). RNAcentral describes it as "ovarian small RNA-12168". Lineage: Eukaryota; Metazoa; Arthropoda; Insecta; Lepidoptera; Bombycidae. The record is from RNAcentral.
AGGAAUGUCCGUGGUUCUGGUCGAGCCGGC